RNAcentral lists this ribosomal RNA (440 nucleotides) under uncultured bacterium. RNAcentral describes it as "bacterial SSU rRNA". It matches the Rfam family "Bacterial small subunit ribosomal RNA", at positions 338 to 795 of the family's 1533-position model. The record is from RNAcentral.
CCUACGGGUGGCAGCAGUGGGGAAUCUUGCACAAUGGGGGAAACCCUGAUGCAGCGACGCCGCGUGAGCGAUGAAGCCCUUCGGGGUGUAAAGCUCUUUCGGCAGGGAAGAUGAUGACGGUACCUGCAGAAGCAGCUGCGGCUAACUACGUGCCAGCAGCCGCGGUAAUACGUAGGCAGCAAGCGUUGUUCGGAGUUACUGGGCGUAAAGGGUGUGUAGGCGGUUUGGUAAGUCUGGUGUGAAAUCUCCCGGCUCAACUGGGAGGGUGCGCCGGAAACUGCCGGACUCGAGUGCGGGAGAGGAGAGUGGAAUUCCUGGUGUAGCGGUGAAAUGCGUAGAUAUCAGGAGGAACACCGGUGGUGUAGACGGCUCUCUGGACCGUAACUGACGCUGAAACACGAAAGCGUGGGUAGCAAACAGGAUUAGAUACCCUAGUAGUC